CCAGACUCCUACGGGAGGCAGCAGUAAGGGAUAUUGGUCAAUGGGGGAAACCCUGAACCAGCAACGCCGCGUGAGGGAAGACGGUUUUCGGAUUGUAAACCUCUGUCCUCUGUGAAGAUGAUGACGGUAGCAGAGGAGGAAGCUCCGGCUAACUACGUGCCAGCAGCCGCGGUAAUACGUAGGUGGCAAGCGUUGUCCGGAAUUACUGGGUGUAAAGGGAGCGCAGGCGGGAAGCCAAGUCAGCUGUGAAAACUACGGGUUUAACUUGUAGACUGCAGUUGAAACUGGUUUUCUUGAGUGAAGUAGAGGUUGGCGGAAUUCCGAGUGUAGCGGUGAAAUGCGUAGAUAUUCGGAGGAACACCGGUGGCGAAGGCGGCCAACUGGGCUUUAACUGACGCUGAGGCUCGAAAGUGUGGGGAGCAAACAGGAUUAGAUACCCUUGUA
This 444-nucleotide ribosomal RNA is filed under the name uncultured bacterium. Its description in RNAcentral is "bacterial SSU rRNA". It matches the Rfam family "Bacterial small subunit ribosomal RNA", at positions 331 to 792 of the family's 1533-position model. The record is from RNAcentral.